CAUCUCUAAGGGUCACACCUGGAGAAUUUCUAGUACUCUAUCAGUCUUGACUACAGGAGGGAGAGUCAAGCAGAGUCAUACCCAUUCCAUUCCUAGCUUGGGGAGUGGCUAGCCAGUGUAAGGCAAUCUGCUACAAGU
Small nucleolar RNA from Ornithorhynchus anatinus (platypus), 138 nucleotides. Lineage: Eukaryota; Metazoa; Chordata; Mammalia; Monotremata; Ornithorhynchidae. The record is from RefSeq and is a predicted model, not a curated record.